CCGGAGCCCCGCGACGCCCUGCAGGUCGGGCGGGGGCGGCGCGGGGAGGAGCCGGCCCUGAGCGCGCCGCGCCCCGCCAGGCGGACAGACCCCCGGGACUGUCCGGAAAGAAAAGUUGCAGUCUGGAAAACUCUAGAGCCCAAAGGUGGUGACAGACCAGCCCUUGGAACCGAGAGCACAAUCGGAGCUUUUAUUCCGGUGUUCCCGGGGCGUUCGGGGAGCGCGGCUCCUGCGAGGGACUCACGUGGCGGUCACAGAACAGACGUGAUUAAUGACGGAAAAGCACACAGCCAGGAGCCAGGAGUGAUGUGUGGGGAUCUCCGAGUUCCUGAAAUAUUCCCUUUGCAAUAUGCUACCUCGCGGGGUGGCUCGUCCUGACCCGGCACGGCCUGGGGGGGUGGGGGUGGGAGGGGCAUUUGC
This is a long non-coding RNA of Sorex araneus (European shrew), 420 nucleotides long. RefSeq lists it as uncharacterized. The transcript is spliced from 3 exons. Lineage: Eukaryota; Metazoa; Chordata; Mammalia; Eulipotyphla; Soricidae. The record is from RefSeq and is a predicted model, not a curated record.